RNAcentral lists this ribosomal RNA (717 nucleotides) under Taifanglania curticatenata. RNAcentral describes it as "SSU rRNA". It matches the Rfam family "Eukaryotic small subunit ribosomal RNA", at positions 91 to 818 of the family's 1831-position model. Lineage: Eukaryota; Fungi; Ascomycota; Sordariomycetes; Sordariales; Chaetomiaceae. The record is from RNAcentral.
GAAUGCCUCAUUAAAUCAGUUAUCGUUUAUUUGAUAGUACCUUACUACAUGGAUAACCGUGGUAAUUCUAGAGCUAAUACAUGCUAAAAAUCCCGACUUCGGAAGGGAUGUAUUUAUUAGAUUAAAAACCAAUGCCCUUCGGGGCUCUCUGGUGAUUCAUAAUAACUUCUCGAAUCGCACGGCCUUGCGCCGGCGAUGGUUCAUUCAAAUUUCUGCCCUAUCAACUUUCGACGGCUGGGUCUUGGCCAGCCGUGGUGACAACGGGUAACGGAGGGUUAGGGCUCGACCCCGGAGAAGGAGCCUGAGAAACGGCUACUACAUCCAAGGAAGGCAGCAGGCGCGCAAAUUACCCAAUCCCGACACGGGGAGGUAGUGACAAUAAAUACUGAUACAGGGCUCUUUCGGGUCUUGUAAUUGGAAUGAGUACAAUUUAAAUCCCUUAACGAGGAACAAUUGGAGGGCAAGUCUGGUGCCAGCAGCCGCGGUAAUUCCAGCUCCAAUAGCGUAUAUUAAAGUUGUUGAGGUUAAAAAGCUCGUAGUUGAACCUUGGGCCUAGCCGGCCGGUCCGCCUCACCGCGUGCACUGGCUCGGCUGGGUCUUUCCUUCUGGAGAACCGCAUGCCCUUCACUGGGUGUGCCGGGGAACCAGGACUUUUACUCUGAACAAAUUAGAUCGCUUAAAGAAGGCCUAUGCUCGAAUACAUUAGCAUGGAAUAAU